GGGCUGGUGGCGAAAUUGGUAUCGCGCUAGAUUUCGGCUCUAGCGAUUGCGGGUUCGAGUCCCGUCUAGCUCU
Transfer RNA from Verticillium longisporum, 73 nucleotides. It matches the Rfam family "tRNA". From Rfam's summary of the family: Transfer RNA (tRNA) molecules are approximately 80 nucleotides in length. The record is from Rfam. Lineage: Eukaryota; Fungi; Ascomycota; Sordariomycetes; Glomerellales; Plectosphaerellaceae.